AGAGCUAAAAUCUGCCACUGAAAGAAGAUAAGGGGUAGAGGAAGGCGUCCUUGCGGAAGACCUUGACUAUUUCAGGCCUUUCAGUGCUGGUAGCCUGCAGCACUCGCUGUUUCUUCAACAGGAUUUGGCCCAGUGCACUCAUUUGUCUAUAGAGCAAGAGAUCAAGCCUCGCAUCAAGUUCCACAGGCCGUGACUCAGACCCUGGAACGCUGGGGCUGUUUGAAAAUAAAGAAGGGACAAAAAGCAUCUGUUGGAAAUGUUCACUGUGAUGCAGAUCCAAACCCUCCUCUUCCUCCUCCUCCUCUUUUUCCUCGGCCUGAGCCACAGCGAACGCACAGUGGCAGAGGAGCUGGGGAGCCAUCAGCUGCAGCGGCUGGUGGAUCUGCUGACGGUGCACGAGUGUGAGGAGCUCUUCCUGGCCCUAACCAAUCCCGAGGAGAAGGUUUUUAAACAGCUGCAGCGCCUGUCUGCAGAGAAGAACCCGCUGAGACCACACCCCCGCACACCACGAGACAUAGAUAAGGAAACCCACUGCCAUCCAGCUCUAACAGACUGGCUCCGGAUUCAUGGAGAGCAGACGUAUUACGACAGACUGUCUCUUGCUCUUCAACAGAUCGGAAGGACUGACAUUGCCAUAGAGGUGGGUAAGAAUCUUAACCAGGACAAGACGCUGGGGCUGCAGCGCUAUGUGGAGGAAUACCAUGAGCAGGUCAAUAAAAUGACAUCACAGUUCAUCCUGCCCCAAUCAGAGGAGGACCAUCAUGAAGAAACACCAGAUGUUUCUGCAAGACAAGUGAGGAGCUUGUCUUGGAAAGAUUUGGACUUGGUUGUGGAGAGGCAGCUGGUGCCACCCUAUCAGCGUCAGUUUCUGGACGGGGCGUGGCCUCUUCUCUACGGCCUUAUCUUUGGAUUCGUUGCAGCUUUAGGGGUUGGUUUGCCUGUAAUGCUCUUUACCAUGCGGAUAUGCCUUGGGUCCCAAACCAAAACCCAGCAUUAGGGACACCAUACACACCAUCACUCCUUUGAGAUUUUGAUGACUUGUUAGACUUGUUUGUUUUAAGCUAAACAACUGUGAUUUUUCAGACUAGGUUUAAUAUUAAACAAUGAUCUGCCUUAAUUGAUGUCUUUUAUUUAAUUUUAUUUUUUUUCUUACCUGUAUAUACUAUUCUAGAGUUUUAGUCACAUGAUUUUUUGGGUACCACUUUAAAAGUGUCUUUUCU
This 1220-nucleotide long non-coding RNA is filed under the name Astyanax mexicanus (Mexican tetra). RNAcentral describes it as "lncRNA (ENSAMXG00005020807.1)". The record is from RNAcentral. Lineage: Eukaryota; Metazoa; Chordata; Actinopteri; Characiformes; Acestrorhamphidae.